RNAcentral lists this ribosomal RNA (883 nucleotides) under Yersinia pestis. RNAcentral's name for it is "partial 23S ribosomal RNA". It matches the Rfam family "Bacterial large subunit ribosomal RNA", at positions 383 to 1269 of the family's 2925-position model. The record is from RNAcentral. Lineage: Bacteria; Pseudomonadati; Pseudomonadota; Gammaproteobacteria; Enterobacterales; Yersiniaceae.
AAAUGCACAGGCUGUGAACUCGAUGAGUAGGGCGGGACACGUGACAUCCUGUCUGAAUAUGGGGGGACCAUCCUCCAAGGCUAAAUACUCCUGACUGACCGAUAGUGAACCAGUACCGUGAGGGAAAGGCGAAAAGAACCCCGGCGAGGGGAGUGAAAUAGAACCUGAAACCGUGUACGUACAAGCAGUGGGAGCACCUUCGUGGUGUGACUGCGUACCUUUUGUAUAAUGGGUCAGCGACUUAUAUUUUGUAGCAAGGUUAACCGAAUAGGGGAGCCGUAGGGAAACCGAGUCUUAACUGGGCGUCUAGUUGCAAGGUAUAGACCCGAAACCCGGUGAUCUAGCCAUGGGCAGGUUGAAGGUUGGGUAACACUAACUGGAGGACCGAACCGACUAAUGUUGAAAAAUUAGCGGAUGACUUGUGGCUGGGGGUGAAAGGCCAAUCAAACCGGGAGAUAGCUGGUUCUCCCCGAAAGCUAUUUAGGUAGCGCCUCGUGAACUCAUCUUCGGGGGUAGAGCACUGUUUCGGCUAGGGGGCCAUCCCGGCUUACCAAACCGAUGCAAACUCCGAAUACCGAAGAAUGUUAUCACGGGAGACACACGGCGGGUGCUAACGUCCGUCGUGAAGAGGGAAACAACCCAGACCGCCAGCUAAGGUCCCAAAGUCAUGGUUAAGUGGGAAACGAUGUGGGAAGGCACAGACAGCCAGGAUGUUGGCUUAGAAGCAGCCAUCAUUUAAAGAAAGCGUAAUAGCUCACUGGUCGAGUCGGCCUGCGCGGAAGAUGUAACGGGGCUAAACCAUGCACCGAAGCUGCGGCAGCGACACUUAGGCGUUGUUGGGUAGGGGAGCGUUCUGUAAGCCGUUGAAGGUGACCUGUGAGGG